UGGGGAAUAUUGCGCAAUGGGGGGAACCCUGACGCAGCCAUGCCGCGUGAAUGAAGAAGGCCUUCGGGUUGUAAAGUUCUUUCGGUAUUGAGGAAGGUUGAUGUGUUAAUAGUACAUCAAAUUGACGUUAAAUACAGAAGAAGCACCGGCUAACUCCGUGCCAGCAGCCGCGGUAAUACGGAGGGUGCGAGCGUUAAUCGGAAUAACUGGGCGUAAAGGGCACGCAGGCGGUUAUUUAAGUGAGGUGUGAAAGCCCUGGGCUUAACCUGGGAAUUGCAUUUCAGACUGGGUAACUAGAGUACUUUAGGGAGGGGUAGAAUUCCACGUGUAGCGGUGAAAUGCGUAGAGAUGUGGAGGAAUACCGAGGGCGGAGGCAGCCCCUUGGGAAUGUACUGACGCUCAUGUGCGAAAGCGUGGGGAGCAAACAGGAUUAGAUACCCUGGUAGUCCACGCUGUAAACGCUGUCGAUUUGGGGGUUGGGGUUUAACUCUGGCGCCCGUAGCUAACGUGAUAAAUCGACCGCCUGGGGAGUACGGCCGCAAGGUUA
RNAcentral lists this ribosomal RNA (547 nucleotides) under uncultured bacterium. Its description in RNAcentral is "bacterial SSU rRNA". It matches the Rfam family "Bacterial small subunit ribosomal RNA", at positions 355 to 896 of the family's 1533-position model. The record is from RNAcentral.